Molecule: non-coding RNA, 340 nt
Organism: Pelobates cultripes (western spadefoot toad)
Lineage: Eukaryota; Metazoa; Chordata; Amphibia; Anura; Pelobatidae
Source: the annotation of a GenBank genome assembly
CAUACACUGACAGAAAUACUGACACCCACACACUGACAGAUAUACUGACACCCACAUACACUGAGAAAUACUGACACACACACACAGGCACAUACACUGACACACACAGACUGAUAUACUGACACACACACACACAGACAUACUGGCACACAGACAGAUAUACUGACACAUGCAUACACAUGCACUAACAGACAUACUGACGCACUGACAGACAUACUGACACAUACACAUACUGACACACACAGAUAUACACACACAUAUAUACUGACACACAGACAGACAGACAUACUGACACACACACACAGACAUACUGACACACACACAGACAUGCUGACACACA